Molecule: ribosomal RNA, 553 nt
Filed under: Alloscardovia omnicolens
Lineage: Bacteria; Bacillati; Actinomycetota; Actinomycetes; Bifidobacteriales; Bifidobacteriaceae
Description: bacterial SSU rRNA
Rfam family: Bacterial small subunit ribosomal RNA
Source: RNAcentral
UCUCCUGGAAAAGGGUGGUAAUGCCGAAUGUUCCACAUGCUCGCAUGGGUGUGUGGGAAAACGUUUUAGUGCUAUGCGAUGGGAUCGCGUCCUAUCAGCUUGUUGGUGGGGUAGUGGCCUACCAAGGCUUCGACGGGUAGCCGGCCUGAGAGGGCGACCGGCCACAUUGGGACUGAGAUACGGCCCAGACUCCUACGGGAGGCAGCAGUGGGGAAUAUUGCACAAUGGGGGGAACCCUGAUGCAGCGACGCCGCGUGCGGGAUGACGGCCUUCGGGUUGUAAACCGCUUUUAUUGGGGAGCAAGCGUGAGUGAGUGUACCUUUUGAAUAAGCACCGGCUAACUACGUGCCAGCAGCCGCGGUAAUACGUAGGGUGCAAGCGUUGUCCGGAAUUAUUGGGCGUAAAGAGCUCGUAGGCGGUUUGUCGCGUCUGGUGUGAAAGUCCAUCGCUUAACGGUGGAUUGGCGCUGGGUACGGGCAGGCUAGAGUGUAGUAGGGGAGACUGGAAUUCUCGGUGUAACGGUGGAAUGUGUAGAUAUCGGGAAAGAACACCA